UGCAUUCUUUGACGCUACCGACAGUAAGAAGCACCGUCUACUGCGUGCCAGCAGCCGCGGUAUUACGAGGGUUGCCGAGCAAUUAAUCGGACUUACUGGGCGUAAAGCGCCAUGCAGCUGGUUAUUUUAAGUCAGAUGUGAAUCGCCCGGGGGCUCCAUCCUCGGAAUUGCAUUUGAAACUGGCAGACUAGAAGUACUGUAGAGGAGGGUAGAAUUUCAGAUGUAGCGUGAAAUGCGUAGAGAUCUGAAGGAAUACCGGUGGCGAAGGCGGCCCCCUGGACAGAUACUGACACUCAGAUGCGAAAGCGUGGGGAGCAAACAGGAUUAGAUACCCUGGUAGUCCACGCCGUAAACGAUGUCUACUUGGAGGUUGUGGCCUUGAGCCGUGGCUUUCGGAGCUAACGCGUUAAGUAGACCGCCUGGGGAGUACGGUCGCAAGAUUAACACUCAAAUGAAUUGACGGGGGCCCGCACAAGCGGUGGAGCAUGUGGUUUAAUUCGAUGCAACGCGAAGAACCUUACCUACUCUUGACAUCCAGAGAACUUUCCAGAGAUGGAUUGGUGCCUUCGGGAACUCUGAGACAGGUGCUGCAUGGCUGUCGUCAGCUCGUGUUGUGAAAUGUUGGGUUAAGUCCCGCAACGAGCGCAACCCUUAUCCUUGUUUGCCAGCGAGUAAUGUCGGGAACUCCAGGGAGACUGCCGGUGAUAAACCGGAGGAAGGUGGGGACGACGUCAAGUCAUCAUGGCCCUUACGAGUAGGGCUACACACGUGCUACAAUGGCGCAUACAGAGGGCAGCCAACUUGCGAAAGUGAGCGAAUCCCAAAAAGUGCGUCGUAGUCCGGAUUGGAGUCUGCAACUCGACUCCAUGAAGUCGGAAUCGCUAGUAAUCGUGGAUCAGAAUGCCACGGUGAAUACGUUCCCGGGCCUUGUACACACCGCCCGUCACACCAUGGGAGUGGGCUGCAAAAGAAGUAGUGUAGUUAACUUCGGGGGGACGCU
Molecule: ribosomal RNA, 1000 nt
Filed under: Vibrio alginolyticus
Lineage: Bacteria; Pseudomonadati; Pseudomonadota; Gammaproteobacteria; Vibrionales; Vibrionaceae
Also listed under: 1 other name
Description: bacterial SSU rRNA
Rfam family: Bacterial small subunit ribosomal RNA
Source: RNAcentral